This 504-nucleotide ribosomal RNA is filed under the name uncultured bacterium. Its description in RNAcentral is "partial 16S ribosomal RNA". It matches the Rfam family "Bacterial small subunit ribosomal RNA", at positions 30 to 523 of the family's 1533-position model. The record is from RNAcentral.
AUUGAACGCUGGCGGCAGGCCUAACACAUGCAAGUCGAACGGUAGCACAGAGAGCUUGCUCUCAGGUGACGAGUGGCGGACGGGUGAGUAAUGUCUGGGAAACUGCCCGAUGGAGGGGGAUAACUACUGGAAACGGUAGCUAAUACCGCAUAACGUCGCAAGACCAAAGUGGGGGACCUUCGGGCCUCACACCAUCGGAUGUGCCCAGAUGGGAUUAGCUAGUAGGUGGGAUAAUGGCUCACCUAGGCGACGAUCCCUAGCUGGUCUGAGAGGAUGACCGGCCACACUGGAACUGAGACACGGUCCAGAGUCCUACGGGAGGCAGCAGUGGGGAAUAUUGCACACUGGGCGCAAGCCUGAUUCAGCCAUGCCGCGUGUAUGAAGAAGGCCUUCGGGUUGUAAAGUACUUUCAGCGGGGAGGAAGGCGGUGAAGUUAAUAGCUUCACCGAUUGACGUUACCCGCAGAAGAAGCACCGGCUAACUCCGUGCCAGCAGCCGCCGUAA